AAUCCAUAGGUUAAUGAGGCGAACCGGGGGAACUGAAACAUCUAAGUACCCCGAGGAAAAGAAAUCAACCGAGAUUCCCCCAGUAGCGGCGAGCGAACGGGGAGGAGCCCAGAGCCUGAAUCAGCAUGUGUGUUAGUGGAAGCGUCUGGAAAGGCGCGCGAUACAGGGUGACAGCCCCGUACACAAAAGCGCAUGUGCUGUGAGCUCGAUGAGUAGGGCGGGACACGUGGUAUCCUGUCUGAAUAUGGGGGGACCAUCCUCCAAGGCUAAAUACUCCUGACUGACCGAUAGUGAACCAGUACCGUGAGGGAAAGGCGAAAAGAACCCCGGCGAGGGGAGUGAAAAAGAACCUGAAACCGUGUACGUACAAGCAGUGGGAGCACCCUUUGGGGUGUGACUGCGUACCUUUUGUAUAAUGGGUCAGCGACUUAUAUUCUGUAGCAAGGUUAACCGUAUAGGGGAGCCGGAGGGAAACCGAGUCUUAAUUGGGCGUUAAGUUGCAGGGUAUAGACCCGAAACCCGGUGAUCUAGCCAUGGGCAG
RNAcentral lists this ribosomal RNA (541 nucleotides) under Salmonella enterica subsp. enterica serovar Oranienburg. RNAcentral describes it as "partial 23S ribosomal RNA". It matches the Rfam family "Bacterial large subunit ribosomal RNA", at positions 161 to 743 of the family's 2925-position model. Lineage: Bacteria; Pseudomonadati; Pseudomonadota; Gammaproteobacteria; Enterobacterales; Enterobacteriaceae. The record is from RNAcentral.